Tupaia belangeri chinensis (Chinese tree shrew) is the source of this 535-nucleotide long non-coding RNA. RefSeq lists it as uncharacterized. The record is from RefSeq and is a predicted model, not a curated record. The transcript has 4 exons. Lineage: Eukaryota; Metazoa; Chordata; Mammalia; Scandentia; Tupaiidae.
GCUGCUUUUAGCCAAACAGCCGCCUCCAUUUGACCCUUUCCAGACAGAGAACUUUCCUCUGAGCUGAAACUCACAGAUGAACAGAAGUUUACACUGCAUUUUGAUUAAUCUGCCCAGUUGUAAAUCUGCAAUUUGUGCCUUCAGGAGUCUCCUUUGUCUUAAGUGAUGUGCUCUGGCUGGAGCACUAACAAACCCUGCAACCUUGGACAGAGAAACCAUGAGAGCAGCCAGCCAUCUUCAUAUGGAGGGAUCUUGAAUGUGGACAAAAUUGGCAAUUGUUCAUAGACCUGGGACAGACUCAAGGCAGAUGUGUGACAUCACUAGGACACUUCAGUGUGUCUCUCAUGACACAGCAGUGAAUUUUGAACUCUACUGAUCUGGAAGUCUUGGUCCCAAGAGGAAGUGCUUCCAUCAGAAUAUACUAAAAUGAUGCCACCGAAUAGAGACGAGACCAUCACCUAGCUAUCCUGGGUUCGUGAUGCCAUUUAGCCAACAGGUCAACACACACACACACACACACACACACACACACACA